RNAcentral lists this transfer RNA (71 nucleotides) under Patescibacteria group bacterium. Its description in RNAcentral is "tRNA-Trp". It matches the Rfam family "tRNA". Rfam says of the family: Transfer RNA (tRNA) molecules are approximately 80 nucleotides in length. Their secondary structure includes four short double-helical elements and three loops (D, anti-codon, and T loops). The record is from RNAcentral.
GCGGGUGUGGUGAAACGGUAUCACAGCGGUCUCCAAAACCGCUAUUUCGGGUUCAAGUCCUGACACCCGCG